RNAcentral lists this ribosomal RNA (253 nucleotides) under uncultured bacterium. RNAcentral describes it as "partial 16S ribosomal RNA". It matches the Rfam family "Bacterial small subunit ribosomal RNA", at positions 524 to 776 of the family's 1533-position model. The record is from RNAcentral.
UACGGAGGGUGCGAGCGUUGUCCGGAAUCAUUGGGCGUAAAGGGCGCGUAGGUGGCCCGGUCAGUCAGUGGUGAAAGCGCGGGGCUCAACUCCGCGUCGGCCAUUGAUACUGCGGGGCUCGAGCACUGUAGAGGCAGGCGGAAUUCCUGGUGUAGCGGUGGAAUGCGCAGAUAUCAGGAGGAACACCGAUGGCGAAGGCAGAUCUCUGGGCCGUAACUGACGCUGAGGAGCGAAAGCAUGGGGAGCGAACAGG